GGCGGGGCGGGGCGGGGGGCGGGCCCGAUCUGUGGCCCCGCCCCUAGGUCCUAGCCCAGAGGGCUGAAGAGCUGAGAGCUUACUCCUGAGGCCGGGGAAGAAACACUCCGGCUUGCCGGCUCUCUUUAACCGGCAGGGGAUCCCGCGGGCUCUCGGAGGUCGGCGAGAAGUAGCAGCUCCGCCCGCCUUCUCCGACGGUCUCGCUCUCCGCCGGGCACGCCCUGCGCCGCGAUCUCGGGGCGGGCGUUCCCCAAGCCCCCUCUGGCCUGUGUACCGUUGUUAGCGACUCUCCUUAAGAGCGCACGGAGUGGGAAAGACUGGGCGCAGUAGGCCAAAGGGGAGACUCUGGCCUCGGCUCUGCAGGGGGCAGGGGUGUGGGUGCCUUGCGGCAGCCGCGCCCUCCCGCAGCCUGCUGCCUCCAGACUCCGAACCCCGGGGACCCAGUCAUUUUCCACGGCCUCUGCAACACCCCUCCCAGCAAGGCGCGGCCCUUUUUCGGAGCUGGACUGCAUUUUUUAGAGAUGAGUGGCCGGGUGAGCCUGAAACCAUGGCCAAAGGCUCCAGUGCGACACGGAGGAAAUGCCCCGCCCCCACCCCCAGCAGAAGAGAGGCCGAGGUCAGUGGCACCUGGAGACUCUGCCAAGGUUGGGAAUUACUGCGCUGGGGGCGCCCGCGGCGACACAGGAACGGGCGUCGGGGUGAAGCUCCCACCGAGCCCGCGGGGUUCCGAGGAAGCUUCCGUCGCCCGGCGCGCUCUGGGCCGGGGGUUUUGUCCGGGAAGGUCACCUGGCGCCCACCAGGCCUCUGCCUGGGCACCCUGCCCCGGCGCCGCGCGUCCCGGCGGCCUCAAAGGCAAGCUUCUUCGAAUGGCUCACUUUUUUCGUAGAUGAGCGACUGCCUCUUUAAAUACUACCUUAAAAAAAAAGAAUAAACAAAUCAGGGUUGGAAUUCCUUCUGCACGUAGCACACACUUUCUGGCAUCGGAACUGAGCUCUUCAAGGCCAGGAUGGUGAAUAGCUACCACUGUGCUCCCCUUACUGUGACUCAACCGUUUACUUUCAACAAACGUGUGUGGAGCUCCGACUCGGUGGGAACACUCGGGUGGGGGAAACGACUCUAGGUUUGGUGUGCAAGCACCUGGGUUCUGUCACUUGAAGUUACAGGUUCUUUGAGCCUUGGUUUUCUCGCCUAGAAAAUCUUCAAAAUGAUCUAUGAAAACUUGUAAUCACUGCUUCAUCGCUGAAAGGAGCUGCUAACAAGCAUCAAAUGAGAAAUAUGCAGAAACAAGAUUUGACAUCUUCGGAACCAGAAACUAGUCUAUGGAAAACUCUUCCAACCAUUGUACGUAUGGAGUUUUAAGCAUAAGCAGGAGCAGCAACAAGGACGCUCCAUGCCUGAGGUGGGGGAGGCCUGGGACAAGAAGGAGCUAAUGGGCUAUUGAUUGGCAGGCAUGAAGGAGUGGAGAUAGGAUGAGGCCCAGAUGGAUGGCAAAGCCAAGGAAGAAAGGGUAGCAGCUAAGCUCCAAAGACCAAGUAUGAGAGCAUCCACCCAAGGAUCCAUCCUGCCCAUCCUGCACAUUCUGAAUGUGUGGUGCACACAUUUGCAAAGUGGCUUUCACCCCUUCAUCACAUUGAGGAAGGCUUCCCAAGGAAGGACAACCUCGGAAGGGGUCCACCUCUCCAAACUGUGGAUCAGGCCUUAUUGGAGAAAGAUUCGUGGCAGCCCCUUGGACGGCGGAGAAAUUUCCCGGUGCAUUGGCCACAACUGCUCUUUGGUUGCAGAUAAGGAUGAAGCAAUCUGCGGGAGCCUAGAUCUCCUGUCUGUAUGUAUGAGCUGAAAAAUGCCUUCAGGGAAGGUUUUGCCUUUGAGAACGGAUGUGGUAAAAUGAACAUGAUGCGCUGGAGUAGGAAUCAGAAAAUUUGACCAUGCUGUGUGAGUUUGAGCCCAUUGGCUUGCCUCUCUGAGCCUCAGUUUCCCCGAAUGAAAAUGGGAACCUUGAGUAAGCCUCCUUCCCCGCCCACUGUAUCGCAGCAUUUCAUAAGGCUCUGUAGAGAGUAAAAGCGUUCGUGUUGUGGUUGCAUACCCCUUGUGCUCUCCUUCUGCGGCUAAAACUGGAGCUUCUGCAGAUAUAUGUUGAUUUCAGCAAAGGAGUAGGCAGAUGAGAGCCUCAAAUGGGAGCAAUAGGCACUCUGGACGCCCUGACGGCAGAGUCUGGAGAACGGAAAAGCCAACUUUUCUCCCCUUGUGCUUCCAAUUGGGGAAGAGUGAGGAGCCGGGAAAGGUAAAUGCUGUCAUCUGCUGGUCAUUUCCUGUGUAGCAGCAUCAAAUUAAUAGUUUUGCAAAGCUCUCGUUCAAAGUUAGCUAAGGACCUGGAGGGAGGAGGAGGCAUUUGCUGAGCACCUACUGGUUAUAAGGGACUAUCUUCAAGGAUGCUAUGAACAGAGAUAUGACCUAGCCCUGGAUGCUGCCAAUAAGGAGGACACGGACCGCAGGGAGCCAGGGCCGCCUCCCUGUGCCUGUGUGCCUCAAGCACACCCUUUGACCUCUCUGAGCUUCAGGUUCUCAUCAGGUGCGUGGACUAGGAUGGUCUCCAAGGAUCUUGAAAGAUGCAGAGAAUAUUACAGAUGGGCACUGGGAAGGAAAGGAGGAGGGCAUCAAGAGAAGCCCUUGGAAAGUCUGACAGAUGUCCUCUUCCCUUGUGCCCGUGUUUGUGACACUGUGGGCUAGGCUCCAGAUCGCUAAGCACCUGCCCUCCUCUGACUUCUGUUCAGGGGAAGGGACAGUGGAGUCGGAAAGACUUCUUGAAGGAAGACUGGAACCAACGCCUGCGUUGUCCCCACCAGUUUUAAGAAAUGGAACCAUAUAGUUGCCUCUGAAGUCAUCCAUUAUAUGAAUAUAUUAUCAU
This is a long non-coding RNA of Acinonyx jubatus (cheetah), 2905 nucleotides long. RefSeq lists it as uncharacterized. The transcript has 7 exons. The record is from RefSeq and is a predicted model, not a curated record. Lineage: Eukaryota; Metazoa; Chordata; Mammalia; Carnivora; Felidae.